CUGAGCUGAGCUAAUCAAAAGGCCAUGGGUAGGAGGCUUGCAGGUGUGACUUUAGGAUCAUGGCUUCUCCCCACGAUUUUUUGGGGGUCGAGGGAAGCAGAGCAUGGUGCUCCAAUCCCAGAACCCAGCUGUCCUCAAGCUCAGAGGACCAGGUCCUGGCCUGGCUGCUGCUGGGACUCCUCCCUAUGGGCAUCCCUGCACGUCCUGUGUGUCCCUGAGGAGGGACAUGGGGAACUCAGGGGCCACCUCUCCUCCAACUGUGGGGCCAGAGCAGAGAGCCUCUGCACACCACCAGCCUGUCCUCCCCAUGCCCCAGGAGUUCAUCCUUUGCUGCCUGGCCCGGGACCCUGCCCACCGGCCUUCUGCCCACAGCCUCCUCUUCCACCGCGUGCUCUUCGAGGUGCACUCGCUGAAGCUCCUGGCAGCCCACUGCUUUAUCCAGCACCAGUACCUCAUGCCUGAGAAUGUGGUGGAGGAGAAGACCAAGGCCAUGGACCUGCACGCGGUCUUGGCGGAGCUUCCCCGGCCCCGCAGGCCCCCGCUGCAGUGGCGGUACUCGGAAGUCUCCUUCAUGGAACUGGACAAAUUCCUGGAGGAUGUCAGGUGAGAACUGAUGUAAGGUUGGGGGCCAGGCAGCUGUCAGGCCUGAACCCCCAGCCACCCUGGUGUGUCCCCAGGAAUGGGAUCUACCCACUGAUGAACUUUGCAGUUACUCGGCCCCUGGGGCUGCCCCGUGUGCUGGCCCCACCCCCAGAGGAGGUCCAAAAGGCCAAGACCCCGACGCCAGAGCCCUUUGACUCUGAGACCAGAAAGGUCAUCCAGAUGCAGUGCAACCUGGAGAGAAGCGAGGACAAGGCGCGCUGGCAUCUUACUCUGCUUCUGGUGCUGGAGGACCGGCUGCACCGGCAGCUGACCUACGACCUGCUCCCAACGGACAGCGCCCAGGACCUCGCCUCGGAGCUCGUGCACUACGGCUUCCUCCACGAGGACGACCGGAUGAAGCUGGCCGCCUUCCUGGAGAGCACCUUCCUCAAGUACCGUGGGACCCAGGCCUGACCCGGAGCCCCAGCCCCAGGGGACCAUGCCGGGGUGCUGCCUGGGCAGGCCAUGUUAGGGAGACCCCAGCACCGCGGGGCUGCCCUCCUUCAUGUGCCUGGGAGCACAAAGGCCCCGGUAGUGAAGGAACCCCCGCCUCCUGAGAGUGGGGCUGACCCUGCCUCAGGCGCCGAGGGGUUGGGGGGUGGGUGUGGGGGAGCCGUUAGGCCUCCCAGGUCCUUAGGAUCAGGGUUGCCCCCGGAACCCCUUCCCAUAUCCUCCAUUCUCCACCCUGAGUUCCUACCCAGGCUGCCUGGCCAGGGCCACUGCCUCAUCAGCAUGCAGGAGGCUGCCCUGUAGGGAACCCCAGCUCUGAGGCUUGGGGGUGAGGGUCAGCCCUGGACAGACCUCUGCCCAGGGAACUGCUCCAUGGGGUCUGGGAGAGCAGCCAUCCCCGGCUGGCACCACAGACCCACACAAGGAGCCUGCACAGCAAGCCAGCGGUGACACACCUGCAGGUGUCAGGCAUGGCACUGGGCACAACAGGGACCUGGCAGGAGAAACAGACCACAGAGAGGUCUGGAGUUGAGGCUGUCGUCAGCAAAGCCCCUGGUCCCACACAGCUCUGCCCUAGAGCCACCUCUUUGACCCUUUACCCACCCGGAGACCAGAACCCGCAGCCCCUCUGCAGAUCUCCUCUGGCCACUGCACCCCUCCAGUGGGCUUUUUCUCUGAUGCACUCCCUGGCCUGGAGGGGUCAGGGACCCCACAUCCUCUCUGCUCCUCAGACUCACACCCCCUCCAUGUUACCUCCCGCACCUCCUCCCUGGGGCAGCUGCUCCCUGGGCCUCUGAGGAUGUCAGCUCCUGGCUCCCUGCCUGUCUCCCACUGCACUCCGGGCUGACUGAGAGAUGUCUAUGCCCUCAUGCCUUCUACCCCUGCCUUUCUGGCCUCUUGAUUCUCGGCUUGCCACUCCUCCAAUUCCAAACUUAGUGAAAUGGCCUUAAGCAUUUUAAACUGUAUGUAUAAAUAUAGCGCAUUCAUGCCUUUUUAAAAGCAUUUCAAAUGUCAACUAGGAAGCCACACCACUGUAUUAGUUCUAUACUGCCGCUGUAAAAUUUACCACAAACUUAGUGGCUUAACACAAAUUUAUUGCAAUUCUGUAGGCUGGAAGUCUGACUACGGGUCUCACUGGACUAGAAUCAAGGCUGGCAGGCUGCCUUCCUUCCUGGAGGUUCUAGGGGAGACUCCGUCUCCUGCUCCUUCAGGCUGCUGGCAGAAUCCACAUCCUUUCGGUUGCAGGGCCAAGGUCCCCACUUUCUUGCUGAUUGUAAACUAAGGCCACUUCCAGCUUGUAGAAGCUGCCUACAUUCCUUGGCUCUUGGCCCCCUCCUCCAUCUUCAAAGCUAGCAGGUUCAGUCUGUGUCACGAACCAUUUCUCUGGUUCUCUGCAGACAGGAAAGGUUGUCCCUAAGGACUCAUGAGAUUAGGUUGGGCCCAGCCAGAUAAUACAGGAUAAUCUCUCUCCUCAAGGUUUUUAAUAUUAAACACAUCUGCAGGACACAUUUUGCCACGUAAACUAACAUUCACUGGUUCCAGGGAUUAAGGAAUGAACCUCUUUUGUUGGGGAAGGGUGGCAUUCUGCUGACCACAGCACUCCAACCAAAAGCCAAAAACCAAAGCAAGACUUACUAACGCAUAUCAAAUAAAUUAAAUGUACAAAAUAGUGAAUCUCAGUUAUCUUAAAUAUUCCAAUACUAUUCACAAAAUUAUUCAAAUUCUCACGCCUUCCAACUCAAAAUUAGCAAUCUAAAGUAAUUUCCAUAUCCUAGAUGGAAACCCUCAUGCUAAACUGUCUGAUUAUGCAUGGUCCUAAAUGGUUUCAGUGGCAAAUACAUAACAUUGUACUACUGAUUAAACUGAACUUAAAAGCAUCAA
RNAcentral lists this small RNA (2973 nucleotides) under Pongo abelii (Sumatran orangutan). Its description in RNAcentral is "retained intron". The record is from RNAcentral. Lineage: Eukaryota; Metazoa; Chordata; Mammalia; Primates; Hominidae.